This 497-nucleotide ribosomal RNA is filed under the name uncultured bacterium. RNAcentral describes it as "partial 16S ribosomal RNA". It matches the Rfam family "Bacterial small subunit ribosomal RNA", at positions 28 to 507 of the family's 1533-position model. The record is from RNAcentral.
GAUGAACGCUGGCGGCGUGCCUAGUACAUGCAAGUCGAGCGAACAGAUAAGGAGCUUGCUCCUUUGACGUUAGCGGCGGACGGGUGAGUAACACGUGGGUAACCUACCUAUAAGACUGGGAUAACUUCGGGAAACCGGAGCUAAUACCGGAUAACAUUUGGAACCGCAUGGUUCUAAAGUGAAAGAUGGUUUUGCUAUCACUUAUAGAUGGACCCGCGCCGUAUUAGCUAGUUGGUAAGGUAACGGCUUACCAAGGCAACGAUACGUAGCCGACCUGAGAGAGGGGUAGGCCACACGGGAGCGGGGACACGGUCCAGACGCCUACGGGAGGCAGCAGAAGGGAAUGUGCCGCAGUGGGCGAAAGCCUGACGGAGCAACGCCGCGUGAGUGAUGAAGGGUUUCGGCUCGUAAAGCUCUGUUAUUAGGGAAGAACAAACGUGUAAGUAACUGUGCACGUAUUGACGGUACCUAAUCAGAAAGCAACGGCUAACUACGUG